RNAcentral lists this ribosomal RNA (1348 nucleotides) under metagenome. RNAcentral's name for it is "SSU rRNA". It matches the Rfam family "Eukaryotic small subunit ribosomal RNA", at positions 1 to 1316 of the family's 1831-position model. The record is from RNAcentral.
UCUGGUUGAUCCUGCCAGUAGUGAUAUGCUUGCUUCAAAGAUUAAGCCAUGCAUGUCUAAGUAUAAGCGAACUUAUACAGUGAAACUGCGGAUGGCUCAUUAAAACAGUUUGAAUUUAUUUGAUGAAUGUAUGAGAAUACUACUUGGAUAACCGUAGUAAUUCUAGAGCUAAUACAUGCAACGACGCCCGACCGUUUCACUACGGAAGGGCUGUAUUUAUUGGAUACCAAAACCAUCCUUCCCUCGGGAAGUUUUGUUUGAUGAUUCACAAUAACUGAUCGGAUCGCCACUGUGGUGGCGACAGGUCAUUCAACAUUCUGCCCUAUCAGCUUUCGAUGGUUGUGUAGUGGACAACCAUGGCCAUAACGGGUAACGGAGAAUCAGGGUUCGAUUCCGGAGAAGGAGCUUGAGAAUUGGCUACUACAUCUAAGGAAGGCAGCAGGCGCGCAAAUUACCCAAUCCCGAUUCGGGGAGGUAGUGACAAAAAAUAACAAUACCGGGCCUUUUUGGGCUUGGUAAUUGGAAUGAGAGAGAGUUAAACGGACCAUCGAGUAUCCAUUGGAGGGCAAGUCUGGUGCCAGCAGCUGCGGUAAUACCAGCUCCAAUAGCGUAUAUUAAAGUUGUUGCAGUUAAAAAGCUCGUAGUUGGACUUGUGUGCGCUGUCCGCGGGUGGCCUGCGCCCAAAAGGGCGUUUCGGUUCGGCCCCGGUGGCGCCUUGAAAUCUGCAGCUGGGGGGACGUUGGCCUUAACUGGUCGGCGACCGCACGCCGGCUGCUCGGUUACUGUGAGAAAAUUAGAGUGUUCAAGGCAGGCAUUGGGUGCAAUUGAAUACAUUAGCAUGGAAUAAUAAAAUAUGGCUCCUGCCGUAUUUUGUUGGUUUUGACUGGUGGGAGUAAUGAUUGAUAGGGACGGUUGGGGGUGCUAGUAUUGAGCGGCCAGAGGUGAAAUUCAUGGAUUCGCUCAAGACUAACUUAUGCGAAAGCAUUCACCAAGGACGUCCUCUUUAAUCAAGAACGAAAGUUGGGGGAUCGAAGACGAUCAGAUACCGUCGUAGUCUCAACCAUAAACUAUGUCGACUUGGGAUCGGCGGUAGUUUUUUCAUUAAGACACUGUCGGGACCACGGGAGAAAUCAAAGUGUCUGGACUCUGGGGGAAGUAUGGUCGCAAGGCUGAAACUUGAAGGAAUUGACGGAAGGGCACCACCAGGAGUGGAGCCUGCGGCUUAAUUUGACCCAACACGGGGAAACUUACCAGGUCCAGAGAUGUAGAGGAUUGACAGAUUGAAGCUCUUUCUUGAUCACUUCGGUGGUGGUGCAUGGCCGUUCUUAGUUGGUGGAGUGAUUUGUCU